UCUUUGUUAGUGUAUCGGUUAGUACACGCGCCUGUCAUCAACGCGAAGUUCCACUUUCAACGGAAGACCGCGUGAAAGCUGGGUUCAACUCCCAGACAGAGAG
This is a non-coding RNA of Pholiota conissans, 103 nucleotides long. The record is from the annotation of a GenBank genome assembly. NCBI's taxonomy places the organism in Eukaryota, Fungi, Basidiomycota, Agaricomycetes, Agaricales, Strophariaceae.